This 253-nucleotide ribosomal RNA is filed under the name uncultured bacterium. RNAcentral's name for it is "partial 16S ribosomal RNA". It matches the Rfam family "Bacterial small subunit ribosomal RNA", at positions 524 to 776 of the family's 1533-position model. The record is from RNAcentral.
UACGGGGGGGGCAAGCGUUGUUCGGAAUUACUGGGCGUAAAGGGCGUGUAGGCGGUCAGGUAAGUGGGACGUGAAAUGCCUCGGCUCACCCGAGGAGCGGCGUCCCAUACUGCUUGGCUUGAGUACGGGAGAGGAUGUGGGAAUUCCUGGUGUAGCGGUGAAAUGCGUAGAUAUCAGGAGGAACACCGGUGGCGAAGGCGCACAUCUGGCCCGAUACUGACGCUGAGGCGCGAAAGCUAGGGGAGCAAACGGG